ACGGGUUUUGCGAGACGGGUUUGG
RNAcentral lists this non-coding RNA (24 nucleotides) under Arabidopsis thaliana (thale cress). Lineage: Eukaryota; Viridiplantae; Streptophyta; Magnoliopsida; Brassicales; Brassicaceae. The record is from RNAcentral.